This is an RNA transcript of Pan troglodytes (chimpanzee), 2839 nucleotides long. It is a transcript of the gene named RAS guanyl releasing protein 2, with no coding region annotated. Lineage: Eukaryota; Metazoa; Chordata; Mammalia; Primates; Hominidae. The record is from RefSeq and is a predicted model, not a curated record. The transcript has 15 exons.
CAGGGUCAGGAGCCGGGGAUAGGGAGGAAGAGGGCCUGUGGACAAGCUGAGCCGGGACCCCUGGGACCUUUGCGGAGGUGGCCUGGGAGCGCUCAGUUCCCAGGCUCAGGCUUCCCGCUGACGCCUCCUGGCCGCAGCGGGCUCCCCCCGCCCCAGGAAUGUUCCUCUCCCAUCCAGUCCGCCUCCCCUAGGGCAGGCCCUCUGGGGGCUGCCGCAGCCCCGCCUCGCCUUCCUGGGCUCCCGGGAGGGGGCGAGGCGGGCAGGACGCCUGGGUUCUCUCCUCCCCCCUCCCAUACCAGGGAGAAAUUCCUCCGAGGUCCCCUCAGGCUCUGGGUUCCCAAAAUAACCCUGCGGGGGAAGGGAGGCUGUGGAGGGAGGGAAGCGGGAGGGGCGCAGAGCCGAGCUGCGGGGUGCUGCAGGUGCCUCUGGGGAGAGGGCGCGAGGAGAAGGCGCCCUGCGGGGGGGCUGGGCGCCAGCCAGUCCUGGGAUCUUGGUUCGUCCCCAUCCUCGUGAAGCCCCUCGGCCUUCCCGCGACUCCGAGGGUGGGCCGGAAGCCUCUCUGCGGGUCCGUUUCCCAACUGGCGGGUUGCACCAUCCCGGGCCAGACCGUUUAACCCCGGGAGUGGCCGCGGGGGACAACUCCGCCCCUGCCCAGCAGGGGGCGUGCCCGCCCCGCCCCGUUUCUGCCCGCGGGGCCGCGCCCCCGCCCGCGCCUCCGCAGACUCCCGCUCUGCCUCUCCCGGGACAGGGGUUCGGUCCGAGCCCGGUGGGAGGCUCCCGGAGCGCAGCCUGGGCCCAGCCCACCCCGCGCCGGCGGCCAUGGCAGGCACCCUGGACCUGGACAAGGGCUGCACGGUGGAGGAGCUGCUCCGCGGGUGCAUCGAAGCCUUCGAUGACUCCGGGAAGGUGCGGGACCCGCAGCUGGUUCGCAUGUUCCUCAUGAUGCACCCCUGGUACAUCCCCUCCUCUCAGCUGGCGGCCAAGCUGCUCCACAUCUACCAACAAUCCCGGAAGGACAACUCCAAUUCCCUGCAGGUGAAAACGUGCCACCUGGUCAGGUACUGGAUCUCCGCCUUCCCAGCGGAGUUUGACUUGAACCCGGAGUUGGCUGAGCAGAUCAAGGAGCUGAAGGCUCUGCUAGACCAAGAAGGGAACCGGCGGCACAGCAGCCUAAUCGACAUAGACAGCGUCCCUACCUACAAGUGGAAGCGGCAGGUGACUCAGCGGAACCCUGUGGGACAGAAAAAGCGCAAGAUGUCCCUGUUGUUUGACCACCUGGAGCCCAUGGAGCUGGCGGAGCAUCUCACCUACUUGGAGUAUCGCUCCUUCUGCAAGAUCCUGUUUCAGGACUAUCACAGUUUCGUGACUCAUGGCUGCACUGUGGACAACCCCGUCCUGGAGCGGUUCAUCUCCCUCUUCAACAGCGUCUCGCAGUGGGUGCAGCUCAUGAUCCUCAGCAAACCCACAGCCCCGCAGCGGGCCCUGGUCAUCACACACUUUGUCCACGUGGCGGAGAAGCUGCUACAGCUGCAGAACUUCAACACGCUGAUGGCAGUGGUCGGGGGCCUGAGCCACAGCUCCAUCUCCCGCCUCAAGGAGACCCACAGCCACGUUAGCCCUGAGACCAUCAAGCUCUGGGAGGGUCUCACGGAACUAGUGACGGCGACAGGCAACUAUGGCAACUACCGGCGUCGGCUGGCAGCCUGUGUGGGCUUCCGCUUCCCUAUCCUGGGUGUGCACCUCAAGGACCUGGUGGCCCUGCAGCUGGCACUGCCUGACUGGCUGGACCCAGCCCGGACCCGGCUCAACGGGGCCAAGAUGAAGCAGCUCUUUAGCAUCCUGGAGGAGCUGGCCAUGGUGACCAGCCUGCGGCCACCAGUACAGGCCAACCCCGACCUGCUGAGCCUGCUCACGGUGUCUCUGGAUCAGUAUCAGACGGAGGAUGAGCUGUACCAGCUGUCCCUGCAGCGGGAGCCGCGCUCCAAGUCCUCGCCAACCAGCCCCACGAGUUGCACCCCACCACCCCGGCCCCCGGUGCUGGAGGAGUGGACCUCGGCUGCCAAACCCAAGCUGGAUCAGGCCCUCGUGGUGGAGCACAUCGAGAAGAUGGUGGAGUCUGUGUUCCGGAACUUUGACGUCGAUGGGGAUGGCCACAUCUCACAGGAAGAAUUCCAGAUCAUCCGUGGGAACUUCCCUUACCUCAGCGCCUUUGGGGACCUCGACCAGAACCAGGAUGGCUGCAUCAGCAGGGAGGAGAUGGUUUCCUAUUUCCUGCGCUCCAGCUCUGUGUUGGGGGGCCGCAUGGGCUUCGUACACAACUUCCAGGAGAGCAACUCCUUGCGCCCCGUCGCCUGCCGCCACUGCAAAACCCUGCCUGUGGUGUGAACUGCCACAAGCAGUGCAAGGAUCGCCUGUCAGUUGAGUGUCGGCGCAGGGCCCAGAGUGUGAGCCUGGAGGGGUCUGCACCCUCACCCUCACCCACGCACAGCCACCAUCACCGCGCCUUCAGCUUCUCUCUGCCCCGCCCUGGCAGGCGAGGCUCCAGGCCUCCAGAGAUCCGUGAGGAGGAGGUACAGACGGUGGAGGAUGGGGUGUUUGACAUCCACUUGUAAUAGAUGCUGUGGUUGGAUCAAGGACUCAUUCCUGCCUUGGAGAAAAUACUUCAACCAGAGCAGGGAGCCUGGGGGUGUCGGGGCAGGAGGCUGGGGAUGGGGGUGGGAUAUGAGGGUGGCAUGCAGCUGAGGGCAGGGCCAGGGCUGGUGUCCCUAAGGUUGUACAGACUCUUGUGAAUAUUUGUAUUUUCCAGAUGGAAUAAAAAGGCCCGUGUAAUUAACCUUCA